GGAAGCAAAAGUCGUAACAAGGUUUCCGUAGGUGAACCUGCGGAAGGAUCAUUAAUGAGUUGUCAUGGGGUUCGAUGCUGGCAGCCAAUUUUUGGAUGCAUGUGCUUGCCCUAACAAUCAUCUUCCAAACACCUGUGCACAUUUUUGAGGGAGUCUUGAGUUGGUUGCCGCUCUUGGGUGAUUUUCUCACAUUCCCUUAAAUCAUUAUACGCUAUUAACAAUGUUGAACGUGCUCUGUGCCGCAAGGCUAUUAAUAUAAUACAACUUUUAACAACGGAUCUCUUGGCUCUC
This 291-nucleotide unclassified non-coding RNA is filed under the name plant metagenome. RNAcentral describes it as "partial contains small subunit ribosomal RNA, internal transcribed spacer 1, and 5.8S ribosomal RNA". The stretch from base 1 to 54 matches the Rfam family "Eukaryotic small subunit ribosomal RNA", at positions 1778 to 1831 of the family's 1831-position model. The record is from RNAcentral.